This 253-nucleotide ribosomal RNA is filed under the name uncultured bacterium. RNAcentral describes it as "partial 16S ribosomal RNA". It matches the Rfam family "Bacterial small subunit ribosomal RNA", at positions 524 to 776 of the family's 1533-position model. The record is from RNAcentral.
UACGUAGGGUGCGAGCGUUAAUCGGAAUUACUGGGCGUAAAGCGUGCGCAGGCGGUUUUGUAAGCCAGAUGUGAAAUCCCCGGGCUUAACCUGGGAAUGGCAUUUGGGACUGCAAGGCUUGAGUGCGGCAGAGGAGACUAGAAUUCCUGGUGUAGCAGUGAAAUGCGUAGAUAUCAGGAGGAACACCAAUGGCGAAGGCAGCUCGCUGGGACGUGACUGACGCUGAGACGCGAAAGCGUGGGGAGCAAACAGG